RNAcentral lists this unclassified non-coding RNA (395 nucleotides) under Hevea brasiliensis (rubber tree). The record is from RNAcentral. Lineage: Eukaryota; Viridiplantae; Streptophyta; Magnoliopsida; Malpighiales; Euphorbiaceae.
AUCAAAAAUCAAAUGAAAAAUAAACAUUCUUGCCACCAACAACCAUCUUAAUGUUUCCAUUCUAACUAGUAAUUUUACACGUAUAAUAUAUGCACAAAAUACCCAACUAUGAAGUUAUGAGCACAUGUUGAUUCUCCCAAUGGAAUGUCCUAUUAACAUUUCCAAGGCUUCACAGCCUCAAUCAGAUUAGAACUCCCACAAACCUGUCUCAUCUGUCAUGCAUCCUCUUGAUAUAUUCGCCUUCGCCUCAACCCUCCAUCAGCUUCUUGAUCGUUUAGAAUCAAACCAGUGCCUUGCAAAUUCGAAUUUUGCACUUCAGAGGAAAUCCCUGCCUCAUUUUGCCUCUCUUCUAUAUUUUCUCCAUAGUUAUGAAGCCUACGACCGAUGAGAUAGCG